This 492-nucleotide ribosomal RNA is filed under the name uncultured bacterium. RNAcentral's name for it is "partial 16S ribosomal RNA". It matches the Rfam family "Bacterial small subunit ribosomal RNA", at positions 28 to 507 of the family's 1533-position model. The record is from RNAcentral.
GGUGAACGCUGGCGGUAGGCCUAACACAUGCAAGUCGAACGGCAGCACAGUAAGAGCUUGCUCUUACGGUUAGCGAGUGGCGGGCGGGUGAGGAAUACAUCGGCAUCUUCUUUUUCGUGGAGGAUAACGUGGGGACACUUCCGCUAAUACCGCAUACGAUCUACGGCUUGCAUCAAGAGAGCUUGGGACCUUGCCCGUUACAAUGAGCCCGUGCUGCAUUAGCUAGUUGGUGUGGUAAGGGCCUACCAAGGCAACGAUGCAUAGCCGACCUGAGAGGAUGAUCAGCCACACUGGAACUGAGACACGGUCCAGACUCCUACGGGAGGCAGCAGUAGGGAAUCUUCGGCAAUGGGCGAAAGCCUGACGGAGCAAUGCCGCGUGAGUGAUGAAGGUCUUCGGAUCGUAAAGCUCUGUUAUUAGGGAAGAACAUAUGUGGAAGUAACUGUGGACAUCUUGACGGUACCUAAUCAGAAAGCCACGGCUAACUACGUG